This 34966-nucleotide long non-coding RNA is filed under the name Citrus sinensis (sweet orange). RNAcentral describes it as "long non-coding RNA (CSIN_LNC001754)". Lineage: Eukaryota; Viridiplantae; Streptophyta; Magnoliopsida; Sapindales; Rutaceae. The record is from RNAcentral.
GAAUUUAAUGUUUGUGACAAAUAACAUAGCAGAGAGUUGUGUUGUGAGAAUAAACAAUCUAAUUUAAAUGAAUCAUCUCCUAUGAUCGUAUCUAGGGUUGUCUAUUGAUUAGGGAAAUAUCCAACGGUCGUACCUUGGUUAUCGACUAGUUAAGGAGAGAUUGGCUAUUAGAGGGUCUCAAUAGCUAUAACCGGUCUAUUCAUAAGUAAUAAUAAUCUAUAUUUGAAUCAAUGAUCAGUAGUAGAAUCAAGCUGAGUUAAUUCCUUCAACCAGAGCUUUCUCCAAUUUGAAUUACAACUUUCAUUUGCAUUCUUGUUAUUUUAAUUUGAUUUUUAUUAUUGUCAACAAAACCCCCAUUUUAUGUUUUACGUUUUAAAAGGAUUUAAAUAAUUACCGAUCUUUGUGGACACGACCCUGCUCAAUCACUAUACACAAUUUAUUUAGAGUAGGAAUUUAUUUUUGUUGGCUUCGACACCCAUCACAUGGUUCAUCAAAGGCUAAUUCAGUAGUAAGAGUCCAAUGAAAAGAAUCCUUCUUUAGCUUGUCAGUUAAAGGUACAAUAAUUUUACCAUAGUUGGGUACAAAUUUUUUGUAGUACCUCAUCAAACCUAAGAAUCCCCUCAAGGCUUUGGUUGUGGUAGGCUUUGGCCAUUCAAGCAUGCAUUAAUUUUUUUUUAGGAUUGACAAGUAUCCCAAAAAUAUAAAGAAUAUGGCCCAAAUUCAAUAGAAGAUUGAUCAAAUCGCACUUUGAAAGCUUGACAUAAUGUUGAUGUUGAUGUAAACACUUAAGGACAAUGGAAACAUGAUGAGCAAGCUCUUGUAAAGAAGUACUAUAAACUAUGACAUCAUCAAAGAAAACCAAGACAAACAUUCGAAGGGAAGGUAAAAAAAUUUCAUUCAUCAAAUUUUGAAAUGUUCCUGACAAAUUUGAAAGGCCAAAGCACAUCACAAGAAAUUCAUAAUGACCAUCAUGAGCGCAAAAGGCUAUUUUGGAUAUAUCUGCAAGACAGACUUGAAUCUGAUUUAAACAAGUGCCUAUUCAUUCCUUAUUGGAAAAGGUAAAAUUGAUGCAGUCAUGAUGAUCAUUUUGAAAUUCUUGUGACGUCCUUUGGUCUUUCAAAUGCACCUGCAACAUUUCAAAAUUUGAUGAAUGGAAUUUUUUAGCCUUUUCUUCAAAAGAUUGUCUUGGUUUUCUUUGAUGAUAUCCUUGUUUAUAAAUGAAAAAUUAAAAGGGUAAGAUAUGUUCACGAUCAAUUUCUUGUUUCUAGAACUGAGGUUAACGAUAAGGUCAAACGUUGACUAGCGAACUUCUCAUGUUUUUUCUUGUCAUUAAUCUUUUCAUUUUUUUCUUAAAUUUUCUCUGAUACCAGAUGUUAAGGUUCUAGGGUUUUGGUCACUAGAGUUGGUUGAGGCUAAUGGUUGGUUCAGUUCAUAACUCACAAAAGUCAAAUUUAAUUGGUGGGAUAAACUUGAAUUAAUUGAUUUACAAAAAGCCAAAUCAAAAGUCAAGGGAUAUUGCAAAAUGUUUGGAUGCUAGAAAAUUGAUUUUUUUUUUUAAGUUGAUCAGAAAAAGAAAAAUUGGUGGCUAGAAAAGAAAUGCUCCAAUACCAGAUAUUGGGGUUUUAAGGUUUUGAUUAGAGAAUUCAAGAGAAACGAGAUAAAAAAUGUAAGAACUCAGAAGAAAGAAUUAACGGUGGUUGGAAUUAAUUUUAUUAUUGCUUUGCUUGCUUCCAAAAAACAUAAUGAGAAUCAUUUAUUUAUAAUAUUUCAAUAUAAUCCUAAUUCUAAUCUAAUUACCCUAGAUCAUAAUUGUGAUAAAAUCAUCUAAUUCUAAUAAGAAAAAAGUUAAAAUAAACUAUCGGAGUCUUUAACAUAUUUUGAAUGUUUAAUGUUUAUUUAUAUUUUUUAUUAAAGCAUUCAAUCGUGACAUGCCUACUCAGCAAAGUUAGCGACACUUUAGUUUUUUCUUCUCUUAUUUUAUUUUAUUUUUUUCAUUUCCUUUCAUGUCACGUGCUUUCUAUUUUGUUCUUUUAUUUCCUUUGGCUUCACGUUUAGAAGAUAGAUGUUUCUGCAGAUGUAAAUCUAUGAUUUUUUUCCCUCUAUCCAAAACACUGUUCUAUAGGGGUUUUGGGUUUUUUACUCUAAUUUUCUAUCAAGAUAUGUUUUUCUAGCAGAUUUGUAGCUUCUAAAAGCUCCAGAUUUAAUAAUAAUAAUAAUAAUAAAAUAAAGGGUAAAAGCUUGUUUAGUCCCUAUAUUAUGAGGUUAGUGUCUAUUUAGUCCCUGUAUUUUUAAAAACACCUCAAAACGUCCCUGCUACUAAAUAUUGACACUUAUGCCAUUAUUUUUUUUAUUUUUAACUUACUUUUACAAUAUUACAUUUUUACAAUAAUGUUUCUUUUUUGGAUAUUAAUAAAAAAUUAAAUUAUCAAAUUAAACUCAAAAAUAAAAUAAAAACAAAAAAGGUAUAUAUUAAUUUUUGUGGAAGCUCACGUAUGUCUAAAAAAUUAAUAUCGUAAAAAAUUACAUUAUCAAUUUUUUAGAAAAAUUAAUAUUUUAACUCAAGAGUGUGUUUCACAAAAAUUAAUAUAUAUUUUUUAUUUUAUUUUAUUUUUUGGUGUUAAACUGGUAAUUUAUUUUUUUCUUUUUAAUAAUGUCUAAAAAAAUUAUUAUAAUAGGGUUAUUUUUUUCUUUUUAAUAAUGUCUAAAAAAUUAUUAUAAUAGGGCAAUAUUAUAAAAAUAAGUUAAAAUGAACAAAAGAUAAUGGCAAAAGUGUCAAUAAUUUAAUGAUAGAGAUGGUUUGAGGUAUUUUUAAAAAUAUAGGGACUAAACGGGCACUAACUUCAAAAUAUAGGGACUAAACGAGCUUUUACCCUAAAAUAAAAUACAAAGUAUAAGUCAUCUAUCAAUAUUUACACAGCGUUGCCAUGUUGCAAUCAUGCUCGUCUGAGUUUGUUGUGCACGAUGUCAUGUAAUGAAAGGCAUAAACAAAUGAACAUAAUGAUGCAGAUUAGAUAAGCGUAUAAGAGAACAUAAAACUGAGUUAUUAAUUCAUUAGUCCAUAAUUUUAGUGAUGAUGCAUUCUAUGAUCUCAAUCAACAUUUGCAAGAGUGAAGGUAUAUUCUAAGUUAUGCUCUCCUCCUAAUUUAUGGAAUUAUAUAUGUAUUGAUUAGGGAUGGUAAAAUUAUCCAUGAAACUCAUUGCAUGUUGGUAAUUUUACGGAUUAUGGGCGAAUUUGAUAUUUCAAACCUAAACUCAUUGCAUGUUGCGGUUGAGUUUAGUAUUGAGAAAAAAAAUUCACCGAAUAUUUGCGCAGGUAUUCAUCAACCCACAUUUUUAAAAAUUAUUUAUGUUUUUAAUUUUAAUCAAAUUACAUUAAAAAAAUUAAAUCAUAAAUAUAUAUAAGUAAAGUUCCUAAUUCCUAAACCCAACCUCUAUAUAUACACACACACACACAAACACACACAAAAUUAAUCAAACUAAAAUAAAAUAUCAAUAAUAUUAAACUUGAAAAUUAAAAAAUUUCUAUGUAGAAAUUUUAUUUGUUUAAUUUGAAUUUGAAUUGGUUUCUAAAUUUGAAUUUAAUGAUUGGUUUCUAAAUUUGAAUUUUUAUUUCUUUAAUUAAUUAUUAACAGUAGUUGUACAAAAUUUAUUUUUUAAUAUUUUUUUAAAUUUAUUUUUUAAUAUACUUAAAUAUUAAUUAAAAGAUGAAGUAAGGCAUUGACGUAGGGAUGAUGAUUUUGCCUACAACGGAAAUAUUUUGAAUUUGAUUGAUAUAUUUUGUGUACUUAUUGUAAUGUUAAAAUUUUAAUUUCCUAUUUACAUGAAUAAAAUCUAGAAUUGAGUGUUUUAUGAACAUAUUUUAGGUUAUUGUUAUAAAUUUAAAAUUUGAAUUAUAUAAUUUAAAUUUAUAUUUAUUAUUAAAAAUUUUUGUUUGUGAUUUUAUGUGGGACUUGCAAAAACAUUCACCAAGGGGAUUUAGUAAUUGUUAAAUUCUGCGGCAGGCAAUUUUUUUUAAUAAAAAUAAGAACCCACAAUAAAUUACAGACGAAUUUAAAUUUAAAUUUUUUAUGAGUGAAAUUUUGAUAAUGACAAAUCCCUGUUCUGAUCUAGUUUUUAAUGAACUCCUAUGUAUACGGACAUUUUCAAAUGAAAUUAAAAAAAAGGAAAAAACUGAAUAUUUUAAAUUCAUGCCUCCUUUGGAACCAAACACCCCUUACGUUUAGGUUUUCUAAUUAGAUAGUUUCAGUGACCAAUCCGUUCAGUUUUCAAGAUUUAAGGAAAAAAUGUCAAGACAUGAAAAAAAUGCAUCAACGAACACAAGUUAAAGAGAAAUUUUCAAAAAUAUAUAAAAAUACUAUUGACAUGUGUAUAUUUAUUUUAAAAAAUUACCACACAACUAAUGAUUAUGUUAAAUUUAAUUACAUAUAUUAUAAAUACAUGCUCGUUGCGUUCUCUCUAAAAUAUUCUUAAAUUCCUUCAGUUGAAGAGGACCAAACAAUCAACUACCAAGAAAAUAUAGAUAACAUUACAUAAAUGAAGUCUUGCUUGAAACAUUCACAUAAGGAAAUUCUCUGACAUACAUGAACUAAAGACGCCCCCUAAAAAUAUCAAGACUUGCCUUCCCAAGCCAACAAAAGAAAAGGAAAGGACGGAUUCUCCAAACCAUUAUCAUAUCCAUAAUACACCAUUUUAAAUUUCAAUUUUUUUAAAAAAAUUAUAUAUUAAAAAAAAACAAAUAACCACCCAAAACUGCAAACCCCCCCUCCCCAUCCUUUCCAAUCUAAUACAAGUCCUAAGCCACACAACAUAUACUAGGCUAUGCCAAUCCAAACCAAAAUCUACUGCUGCUUGCAUUCUGGAGGCCUUUCACCCUGCUGAGCAUCCCCAGCUUGUUGUCUUCCACUCUUCUACAAUACAGAACACAUAUAAUCAAGAGAUAAGACCACAAGUUUGAUUUGAAAGUAAAUGAAAUCAAUGAAGUAAUUAAACUAGGCAUUAUACCUUGCUCCCAGCUGAUGACUGGAGAGACAUUUCAAGCCAAAAUCAAAAAAUAUAUAUAUAGUUAGUAAUUGACCUCAUUUCAAUGGGAAUUUGACCGAUCAAAAGGACUACAAUAACAUACCUUCUUUUUGGUCUUGCCUUCAUCAUCCUCCUCAUCCUCCUCGUCAUCUUCAUCCUCAUCUUCGUCAUCAUCUCCCUCGUCGUCUUCAUCCUCAUCAAUAUCAUCAUCAUCUUCAUCAUCAUCCAACUCAAUCUCUUCCUCCUGAAUAGCUUCCCCAGUAAACCAUGAAACAGCAUGGGGGAUAAUCUUGUCUCUAAUUGUUGAUCUACACAAAGCAAUAGAACUAGGCAAUCAAUUACAAAUGCACUACAGCAAUUCAAUUUAAAAGAUGAGACAUGUAAGAGCAACAUCAAGAGUACCCACCCAAUAUCGUAAUCUUGUUCCAUUUGAUUUUGAAGCUCCUCAGCCUGUUAAAGAAACAGAAAUAAUGUGAAACAGAGAAUAAAACAAAUGAUUAUCAUCAAUUAAUGCUACAAAUGCCAUGAUAUCAAUCUUACAGUAUCUUCAUCAAUGUCUUCAUCAUCUUCAGGGACUUGAGGUGGAUUGAAAAAGUUGAAAAAACUUUCACAUUCUUCAGUUUUAGUAAUUGGCUUAGCAUUCUUUGAUCCCUUCUUUGGCUUCUUCUUAAGGAGCUUCUGUGUCAAGCAUUUCCCUGGAUACCAUUCAAUCUCCGUCCUACAAAACAUCAGCCGCAAGAAAAAUUUAGAUCAUGCAAAGUAUAGUGAUAUGUAUCUCAACAUAAGUGCAAGGAAAGAAACACAAGUUACCCUAUAGCUUUCUCAAGAAUAGGCUCAUCUUCAUCAAUCAUGUGAUAGGUCUUUGUCAAGACAGUGUUCUUGAAGUAUGGAUUGGGGUCAAAGUAGAAUUCAAGCUUGAAUCCCUUUGGAUCAUCAAUCCUAAACCACUUAAUGUCUUUGAGAAACUUGAGAGCUCCUUCAUCGCGCUCAGUAAUCUAAUUUCAACAAAACAAGGAAAAUAUUUUAAGAACUCAAAUACCAUGGUAGUACCAAAUCAAACUAAAAUAGCCUUAAACUUACUUCCUCAGAUAGGACAUCAUUAUUUUUCAUUGCAGUAAGCCAGAAGUCCGGCACUCCUUUCUCUGCAUUAUGCAUAUAAAAAAUCAAACACAAAUCCACAACAGCCUUAGAGAAAGGUCCUAACUCCUAUGUUGAUAUUCAAAGGGUACCUUCAGUGGCUUUAUCCUCUUCCUGGUCCAUUGCAACUUCAUUUGGGGCCCCUUCAACAACACCAUUGACAAUCUCAUAUCUCUGCAAAUAAAAUUACAUGAAUCAAUCUUCAAAAUAAUUAGGGAAAAAACAAAAAUGUGAAAACCCAAAGCACAACAAUGCCCUCACACAGGAAUAGUUAUGGCACCAUUUCAGAUACCUAGCACCAAGAGCAAAGGAUAACCUCUAUGUGGGAUAAACAAGAAGAAACCCAAACAAUUGUUGGUAAAGAGCAAAAGAGCUACGUUUCCCUUUUCCAAGCCUUUUUUAAAAAAAAAACCUUCAAAGAUCCCAUAAAAAGAAACUCUCCCAUUGUUGCAUGGGCUGGAACAUCCUUAAUUACCAAGGAAAUCUAUUCACCUUUCUAUGCAAAUGCAGACAUAUUCAUUAGAGAAGAUGGUAUGAUACCUUGGUGUACAUAGGCUGAUACAAUUUUUGAUAUUUGGCUUCCAGUGCUGCUCUCUCCUCAAAAAAUUUUGCCUCCAAUUCAUCAUGUUCACUCUGCAAAUCAUAAAAGAAUUGUUAACCGCAUGCUUCCUUGUCAAGGUUUUGUGCAAAUUAGAAAAAGUAAUAAACCAUGAAGAGCAAAAUACACCCAGAUACAUACAAGAAAACAAAAGUUGAAGUUCACAGCAUAAUAAAUGGAAUAUAAGGCACUGGACAGAUGCACUACAAUUAAUUACAGCAAUGGAAUUAAGGCACUGGGCAGUGCCAAGUCAAGAAAUAUCAGAACAUAUAAAGCAAGCCAUUAGCGGGAACUGCCAGCCAUACUCAAGAGUUUUCUGUUUUAAGAUACCCGUUGUAAACAAGAUAAUUAUAAACCAUUUUCUACCGUCUCCAGUGAGCAGGAAAAUCCCCAAGAUCAGCAAGCCAAAGUUUAGCAUUUGCAAACAGAACAUAUAACAAAAAAAGAAUUUUCAACAAUGGUCCUCAGUUGGCACUAUUUAGAACUCAAAAUACUAAAAACUUGCACCGGAAUUUAUCAUGACAAUAACACACAUAAUGAACAUCAAAAUACGUGCCUGGAUCUCUCUGAGAACCUCAACACGCUUCCUGACUGCUGGAGUCAGUUUCUCGAGAACAUCAGAGUGCUGCCCAGCAAGGUUCUGAAGUUUAUUCUGCACAACAAAAAAUGAUUCUUCCAUUAAACAAUCAAAAAACCAAAACAUCUAUACAGUAACACAAAUUGCUUACCUUCAGAACACCCACGAGGUCAGCUCGAGCCCCUUCAUCAAGAGCUACACAGAGAACAAACAAAACAACGUGUCAGAUAGUAAAUAAAAAUUGGAUAAAUUACUAAAAUAAUUAGGGUUUUCUUGGAGAUAAGAAGUCACAGGCGCGGAGAUCUGUAACGUUGAAGUUAUCUUUGUCGGCGCUCAUUGUCGGCGGAGGAAGAAGCGACGGCGUUUUAGAGAGAGCGAGGGGAUAGGGUGCUAAAACCCUAGGCGAACAAAAAGGAAUUGGUGAAAAACAAGGGAAACGAGUUUCGACUUUGAUGAGUUAAGAGAGGCGUCAGAAGAAAACGUGGCCUCGCUUAAAUCCUCUCCCUCGCCCUAAAAACCUAACACUUGCUCUCUUUUAGUACUUAAGGCGGUACCUGUUCUGUCUUUUUACUAUUUUUUUAUUAAAUUUUUUUCCAGGGCCGUGUUCCUGUUGUAAUUUUUUUCGUGAGCUUGGGAUUUAAACUGUUUUUUUUUUUUAAAAAAAAAAAUUUACUAAACACCAAUUAUUAUUUAAAGUUUUACAAUAGUUCAUAGGAGGAUCUUAACAAUCAGUUUUAAACAAAAUUGUAGCAUAAAUGAAAAAUCAAAGAUGGAAAAAAAAAUUCAAAUAUAAAGGCUCAACUCAAAUGGACUGAAUUACAUACAUAAGGUAAUAUUUUUUUAUAUGUUUGCUGUAGUACCAAAUUGGCCUAAAUUGUGUCUGAUAAAAAUAUUUGACUUUGGAAAAUAUAAUACAGAAAUAAGCUAAUAAAGAUUACUUAAUUUGAAAAACCCUAAGAUAAUAUAUGGAAAGUCUAAAAGUACUCUUUAAAAAAAUAAUUUAAAUUAACUAGGGGAACAUUGUUCACACGUAUUUGAGUUAUCGAAUUUGGGAAAACCCACAAUCAUUUUUUUUAUGUCACAGUAAAUAAAAGAAUAAAAAAUAAUCAUAUCUUGCUAUAAUAAAAGCAAGCGUUUCUUGCAUAAGUUAAUAUUACAAUGAUAGUGAUAUACACAAAGGGUGCGUUUGACAUUCUGUAUUACAUUAUAUUAAUGUAGGUUACUGUAUUAUAUUAUAUUGCAUUAGUACUAUAUCAUAACAAUAUUAUACAACAUUUGAUGUUACAUUAUAUUGUAUCAAUUUUUAAUUAUAUUAAAUUUGGUGUUGUAUUGUACUGUGCUAAUUUUUUUGAUGAUUAAUUUAAGUUAUAUAUUUAGAAAAUAAUAGUACUUAUAAAAUACUAAAUAUAAAAGUCUUAAAUUUUAGAAAGUUACCAUCAUUUUUUUAGUAUAAAUGUUGAAAGAAUUCAUAAUUUCGCAUAAAGAUUGAAGCUUAUGACCUUAAAUUUUUUACAGUAAAACAUUUUUUUUCCAGCAAUUUCUAAAUAUAUAACCUAUGAAAUAAAGAUCAAAACAAAUAGUUCAAUCAAACAACCUCUAAAUAAUAUCAUAAAAUAAAUAAAUAGUUAAAACAUACAAGAUUAGUUCAAAAGUCAUCUUUGGAUGAUUGAAUAAAAGUUUAUAUAUAUUACAAGUUAAUCACAAAAUAAUAAAGUGAUACAAUAGUUGUAACAUAAUUACCAACAAAGUAGAUUGUAUUAAAUAAUCCAAGUACACACACCCGUAUGCCAAUUGGAAAUUAGUAUUUUGAAAUACCAACAAAACUCCAACAAGUAUUACUGUAUAAUAUCGUUGUUAAGUUAGAAAUUCAUACUCCCUUAUCAAACUUCACCUUAGAAAUACAUACUCCCUUAUCAAACACCACCUCUCCUUUCAUGCUCAUGCAAAAGCAUCCAAACAUCUGUCAACUUAUGGUCACGAUCAUUUCAUUAUGCCUUGAAAGCCCUUAUAUUUGAAGGUUUCUUUACCAUUAAAUGUAAGGCCAUAAGCUCAUCAUCCAUAGACAGUCCCAUUGAAGUAAUCUCUUCGACAAUGUAAUUAUGAUCUUCACUAUUUCCAUACAUAUUCUGAGACAUAUUAGUGUUGGCUUGGUGAAAUGCUGAAACUAAUUUGUUAAUACUAACAACAAUAUAAUCAUCUAAUUUAGGCUUCGUCCUAUGUGAUGGUUGUACAUGUGAUCAAGUAAUGUAUUGAGAAUUUGAAGGAGGGGUAGCAGACAUCAGAGAACCUUUAUCAUCAAUCGCAUUGUCAUCAUCAUGAGUUUCUUCUUGAAGAGCUGCAUUAACCAUAUCAAUUGGAGUUUUUGCUGGACUUCUAGUUACGUGGACUUUUCCAAAUAUAUUUACUAGCCUCUCAUAAUAUGGAAAUGACUUGUUCCUCUAAUUGCUUGUUUAUUUAUGGGACUACAUUAUUAAAACAAGAUAAUUAAAUGAACUCUAUUAUAUUUAUAAGAAACAAAUUAUAUAUAACCAUGCAACCAUGAAGAUAUAACUAAUGACAUAAAAAGAAAAUUAUUUUCCUUAUUUUAAAUUCAAAAUACUAACCUCUACAUAUGAUUUCCAUACUUUUUCACUAUCAAUCUCCACACAUUUUCUCACAUGAUUCCAUCUAAAACUGCUAGUAUUCAACAUAUUAAAUCGCAGCCCAUACUUCCAUAUCCUUAUCUUAGAGCCAAUAUGCAGGGAAGCCUACAAACCACAUUUUAGUAGUAGUUUUUUAAAUUCAUUUUGAAUAUAUUUGUCACUUCUAGAUUUUAAGGUACCAUUAUCAGCUCGAGUACCAUUUGCAAUUACUGCAUCUAGAAUGUUUAACAUUGUUUCUUCUUCAUCUUUUGUCCAUGCUCAUCUUAAGCUUGUUUUAUUUCCAGUAGUAUGACUUAAACUUUCACUCUCCAUUCCUACAAAAUGAAUAUUAUAAUAAUUUCUUAAACAAUUAAUUGAAAUAUUACACUAAGUUAAGCUAACAUAAAUAACACUUGAUAAAUUCCUAAUGAGAUUUAUAUAUUAACAAAAGGUUAUAACCUUAGAUACCUUUGUAAGGACAUCAUUAUAUUAGCAAAAGUACAACUUUAGAUACGUUCCUAAGUUUAUCGAUAUAAUAGGAAAAGUACAAUCUUAGAUACAUCCUUAAGGACAACGAUAUAUUAUGAAAAAUACAACCUUAAGACACAUUGUUGAGGACAUCGAUAUAUUAGGAAAAAUACAACCUUAGACACAUUCUUGAGGACAUCGAUAUAUUAGGAAAAAUAUAGCCUUAAAUACUUUCCUAUUGACAUCCAUAUAUAAACAAAAGUAUAACCUUAGAUACUUUCCUAAUGACAUCUAUAUAUUAAUAAAAGUAUAGCCUUAGAUAAAUCCUAAUUUCCAAGCCUAUUGUUAUACAAAGCGGUAUCUAAAUUAUUCCUCCAACUCGUCCAUUGAUCUGAACCUGUAAGACUACUUUAUGUUAUUAAUACUAUCUACUUCAUUAUUAGAUAUGUUAAGUAAUUUAUGCUCCAUUAGAUCCACAUACAUUUCCCCUAUGAUUAGAUUAUGUAGUAAACAACAUGCAGUAAUAAUGUGACAUUGGUUUUCAUUAGAUAAAAUGAACUUUGAAGAAUAGGCUAUCACAUUUGAGCAAUCCAAAUCACUACUUAGUUACAUUUCUUACUAAAGAAUGUUUCAUGUUAAAGAACUAUUCUGUUAACAUAAAUAUUUCUUUAUUGAUUUUGAUGAUAACAAACUUGAUUAAGAUUUAUUAAUCAUUUAAAAGUUCAAAAUAGUUUUUAUAUAUUUAAAUAAUCAUUCUCAUUUUAUAAAGGCGUUAUAUUCUAUGAAAAUGUUUUUGGUUAUUCUCAUGUUAAUGGUUUCAAAUUGAAAAAGCUUUGAGAUUUUUUAUGAUAACAAGUAUUGCUUAAAAUCCUGAAAAUGGACUUAAUUGACAAGUUUUAUAAAGUUUUUGGCCAUAGUAUAAAUUUAUAAAGUUUUGGGGUCAAACGAGAAUUUUGUAAAAAAAGUACACUGUAGCAGUUACUGUAGAAAACGACGAUCCGAAAUCUUGAUAAUGGCUCACCGACAUCGAACAGAAUUGAAGAUUAGUUUCUGGACAGUAAUGGCAAACCGACAUCUUGAUAACGGCUCGCCGACAUCGAACAGAAUUGAAGAUUAGUCUCUGGACACUAACGACGAUCCGACAUCUAGAUAACGGUGAUCCGACAAUUUAAAAAUUCAGUCCAACGGUCAUAUUGACUAGUCAAAUGGCGAUCCGACAUCUAGUUAACGGCGAUCUGACAAUGUGCAGAAAGUCAAUAACGGCUAGUUUUCAGCUCCAACUAUAAAUAAGCUCAUUCAAAUUCAAACAAGAUUGUUCACAACACGACUAUUGAGCUUAUAUUUGAGAAUACAAUCUUCAUAGAGCUUUAAAAACACAUUCUUACUUCAUCUAUUCAUAUAUUGGGCCUUGAUUUGUAAUCUUAAAUAUUGUGUGAGAGAAAAAUAAUUUUUAUUCUUUUACUUUGAGUGAUUGUAAGUGUUGGGAUAUACUUCUGUUAAGAGAUUGGGGAUAAUCUCUUGUUGUAAAGGUUCAUUGAAACCUUGGAAGUCAAGUGUAAGCAUUUGAAGUCUUGGAGGCUUGCUUAGUGAAAUCUUCAAGCUUGGAAAGCUUGGAGGCGUGGACGUAGGCGAGGUUGGCCAAACCAUGUAAAAAUCUUCGAGUUUGAAUCUCUCUUCCCUUAUCUUUUUAUAUUGUAAUUGAUUUAAUUGUUAUUCCAUUAAAUUCAUUUUAGAUUUGCAUGAUAAUUUGUUUUAGAAUCAAAUAAUUUUUAGAAUCCCAAUUCACCCCCCUCAUGGGUUGCAUACUUGUAUUUCAUAUUCUUUAUUCGAAGGAGGACACCUAUCUUUCUAUUCUGAUAAAGGGAAAUUAUCAUUCAUAUACCCUAUAUUUGCUCUGUUAUAAAAAAUACUACAACACUUUGAGGGUGUAUCAAUCGUCCACCAUUAGUUGACAAAAUAUAUCAGCCGACCACCAAACCGUUAGUUGCCGUUUGAAAGUUAAUGGAGUUACAGUGAAUUGACGAUUUUACCCUUGAAAAUUAUCACUUGUAUACCCUUAAAUUCUCUUUUUAUCACUUGUAUACCCUUAAAUUAUCACUUAUAUCAUAUGAAAAGACCAAAUUACCCUUUUGACGUUAUCAUACUUAAACGGCAACUAACGGUUUGGUGGUCAGCUGAUACAUUUUGUCAACUUAAGGUGGGCGAUUGAUACACUCUCGAAGUGUUGUAAUAUUUUUGAUAAUAAAGUAAACUAAGGGUAUACAAAUGAUAAUUUCCCUUUGAUAAAUGAUAUCUUGUUCCCUUAUACAUUGUAAGAAAUCCUUUAGCAUUUGUGUAUUCUUCAUCCGCAAGAUAGUAGUAACCUAUUUAUUUCACAUAAGUAUUAGUAUAAUUUUUAGUUUGAAUAUGCAAUUUGAUUAAAUUAAAUUUUUGGAAUAAGUAAUACCUAUAUGAACUUUUAAAUCAGUGACUUAUUUAAUGCAUCGAAAGUAUUCUUAAGUAAGAUGCAGAGCUUUCUCAUCCAGACAUCACGAAGAUGAAUUUCAAUUCUCGUGUGCACAUACCCCUAAAACAUUUGUAGCAAUCUCAUCAUUGUAUGAUAUCUUGGCUUGUCUUUUUCUGGCACAUGAACUUUAAUGUAAAUUUCACCUAAUGCCCAAACAAUUCUACAUCAUAAAGCGAAUGAAAAAUUUAUUAACAUUAAACUAUUAGUUAUAGUCAAAGAUAAUGUACUGUAAACCACUUCCCCUCUCAUCAGUGCAAUUCUCUGGUAUAGGUUGCCCUUAAUCAUCUAAUCAUAAUAUUUCAUUUAUCAUUGCAUUGAAGUAUUUACUAACAAUCUUUCAGAUCCGAAAAAACCUACUACAAUUGUGCGAUUCUUGAUAUGAUAAGACAAAGUAUAAAGGAAUUGCAAAUUUGCUCUUCAAUCGUCACUAAACCAUUAGCCUUUAAUCCCCUAUUCAAUCGAAGUAGCUUAGAUAGUAGGCUAAAUAUCCUUCCAUCCAUUCCUAAUUGAUUCACGCAUUGCAUGUCACUAUUGCCAAUAACGCUUUAUAAGUAUUAUAAUCAAGUGCCAUGGUUUUGGAAUAUACAAUUAUGCAUCAUUUUUCUUUGAUUAUGCUUUCAAAUCAACAUCAUUAACCAAUAUAUAUAUAUAUAUAUAUAUAUACACACAUUAACUCAAUUUCAUUUGCCACAUGACCCCAAAAAAAAAAAGAAAAUCAACUAGUAGCCCAUUGAUAAAUUUUCAUAAAAUUAAAUGAUAGCACACUUCUUUUUGCUUUGUUAAAUAUUUUUUUAUCAUUAUUAUAAAAAUGUAAACUAAGUUGAACAAAAUCAAAUUUCAAUUUUGAUGCAAAGUUUAACCAAACAAAUAAACGAAAAAAAUAAAAGAAAAGAACAUGGUCGAAAAUGCAGAUUGGGGAUUGAUUCAAGCUUAAUUUAUCAAGCAUUUAACUUAUUUUCUUCUUCUCAUAGUCUCAAUAAGCCCUUGAAGCACGAGCUUUGACUCAAUUUGUUUUGUAAUUAAACUACAUCAACCAUGCAAAAAGUAUUAAUAUAUAGGUCAUAAAUAUUACAAUAAAUGACCAAAAUAAGAGUUCAAAACCCAAAAUUUCUAAUCUAUUAGUAAAAAAGAUUCUAAGUAUCAAAUGCAGGUAAUCAAUUAAUAAUAAUUGAAAAUCUCCGUAAAAAACACCUUUUUCUUGAGGCACUUUUACCAGAAUUGGCAUACCCAAAAUAUUAUUUUAAUAAUAAAAUUCUCUUAAUUGAAAUAAGAGAAACAAAAUAAAUGGCAGCUAUAUUCCACUUCUAAAAAAAAUAAAAAAUUCUGAAAGUAAUAGUAAAAUUAGUAAAAAUAUCUUAAAAUCACAAAAACAACCAAGAAAGUUUUUGGCUCAAAUAUGAGGCAAAAUGGCUAAAGCAUUUUUAGUUCUCGUUUGUCUUAUUGCAAGCCUCAAAAUGGCAUGUUACAUGGCCCAAAGGACACCUAUAGCUCGAGUUAUGACCUUGAGAAAGUACCCUCCUAAUCCUAUACACUCAUUUUACAUCAAUAACUACGUUGAGCAAUUUGAGUACCUUUUUCAUCAUUUCUCUAUCUUUACUCAAUUAAGGUUUAAUUAAUGAAAUGCCCCAUAUUGAUUUUUAAAAUCUAAUUCAAGUUAUGGUUCAAAUAUAUUUAUUGGGAACAAUCAGUAAUAUUAUGUGGCCUUUGUAAAAGGCUAAACAAGCCUACACCUCUAUAUAUCUUUACUAGACAUUAGGAAUAUAUCCGAAACAUAAGCCUUCCCAAUCAAACCAGGGUAUUGCCUUUUCAAUAGUCUUUGAUUAAUAUAAUUCCUUAAGCAUCAUAUAACAAGACUGGUAAAAAUUUAACCUAUAUAACACAUUAUGCCUAAAGUAAUUAACUUUCACACAUCCUCUUUAUAAAGUAGAUACUUGAUCAAAACAAAAUCACAAAGAGGAAAAUAUAACCAUGCAUAUGAUUUACACGUAUAUAAAUAUGCUUGACAUUAGUUUCUGUAUUGACAUGGGUAAAAACCAAGGCAAUAAAUUAAGAAAAUGACAUAUGAAUCAUAUUUCUAGGUAGGUGUUAUAGCAUUUUAUCAACAUGGAGCUUUAUAAAAUGAAUGAAAAGGUUGUACUUUUUUAUAUCUCCAUUAAAAGAUCAUUUUCAAAUCUAUUGAUGUAAAAAAUGAAAUGAACUAAAAAUAUUACUACUUCAAAAUAAAAGCAUAGGUCAACCAAGAAACCGAAGAGUACAUUCAUUCAAUUUUUUGUCAAGCUCAUUAUAGAGGACUAGAAAUGUUAUUCUCUUCUAUAAGACCAAACAAUGUACCUAGCAAGCAUAUGAAAACAACAUUUUGCAGACUAGAGCUAUACACAUAUGCCUUGACUGUGAAUACAUUUAUUUCUUAUAGAAACCUUCUUAUGAACUGGCAAGUGCCUCUUCUUUAUCAUACUUAAAUUAGUUUAAAUUGAAACAAGUCAUAACUUAGUCCUACUUAGAACUAAUUCUAAAUUUGAAAGAAUUUAAGGAAAGAACUAACAAUAUUCACCAUGCAUAUUGCAUUUAUGUUUUUGUUUGAUGAAUAAACAAGAUUCCAACUUCGACAGUUUACCUCCAGCUAAGCUUCAAUAAAGCACAAUCAUGUGACUGCUCUGAGUGCACUUGCAACCCUAAUAAGGGAGAAUCAAUGAACCACUCUUCAACAACAUAACUAGUUUCUAUCUUUAGAACAUGAAGAGACCAUUUAUGACUCUUUCUAUGAUCAACAUUCAAAUAAUUAUCAACUCUCCAAAGUAUUAAAAAACUUUCCAAUUAUGCAAUGAAGCAAAGAAAAAUCAUAACAUAUCCAUAAAAAAAGCAACCAACUUUCCAUUUUCAGCUAGUUUACAUGAAUCCAAGCUAAUAAUCACUAAAUCUGGAUUAUCUUUAAACCUAAAUAAUGAAUCAACCAAUGUUAAAAUCUCAAAUUUUUUUAAGAGAUAAAAAAUUAAACUUUAAAUGCUCAAUUACAUUUGCCAUGAAUUUUUGUUAGAUAGAUUAUAAUAGAGAAACAUAAUUAAGUUGGAAGUACACAAAAUACCUAAUUUAGAAAUCAAACUAAAUUCAAAAUCAAACCUUAGGUGGUAAAGAUAGGCACAACAAUAGGGUUGCACAGUGGAGUGGUAGUAAAGUUAGUGUCGCAUGAUGAGGUGGUAUUGAAGCUGGUGUUGCGCAGUGGGUAGGUGUCACACGAUACGGUGGUAGUGGAAUUGGUGUCAUACGGCGAAAGAAGAUGGUGUGGUGGUGGAGCGUCGUGGAGUUGGCGUUUGUUGAGCCACUGCACGAAGAGAACAACAAGGAGAACUUGUUGAGUCACAACAUAAAUAUGAGAAUGAUAGUGAGAAUGAAAGUGAAUUUUUAUUUUAUGUCUCAACUAAUUACAAACCUGUAUAAACCUAAACCUCCACAAGUUCAACUAAUUACAAACCUGUAUAAACCUAAACCUCCGCAAGUUUACUUUAUGCGGGUUUGACCACAUUAAAAUUUUGGUAAGACCACAUUAAAAUACUAUGUAUUGUAAUUACCAAACAUGGUAUUAUAACAUUAUAAUACUAUAAGGGGCUCCAAUACCAUAUACUAAGGAGUACAAACAUGCCUUAAAAGUUCAUUUGGUACUCCCCACUAUAUGAUAUUAAAGCCCCUCAUAGUAUUAAAGUAUUACAACAAAAUGAUUGGCAAUUAUAACACAUCGUAUUAGCUAAUAUUUUAAUGUGAUAGAACUUACAUAAACUAAACCUGGUGUGAAGGGCAGAGGAUUUAUGCAAGUUUGUAUUAAUUUUGGGAGAAAAUUAAAAGCCCCUCUCACUUUCCUUCUUUUCGUGUAGUGGCUCAACAAAUGCAUAAUGUUGACUUUUGUUCUCAACUCCACAACACUCCACCGCUAUGCCAUUUUAUUUCGUUGCUUGAUAGGUAACUCCACCACCACCCCACCACACAACACCCACUAUCUUCCUUGCCCUUCAUCACUUACAUCAUUGAGUUGUAGGUUUGAUUUAUGGAUUAGGGUUUGAUUUUUGAAUUUUUUUUAGAAUCAAUUUUAUUAAUGAUUGAAUUGAUUUUUGAAUUAUGGUUUAAUUUUUUUAUAUUCAAUUUUUGUCUAAUCAAUGCGCUAUUGAUUAGUUUUUGUUAUUUCAUAUGGUGAGUUUAAAGUUAAGUGCUUGAGGAUUGAGUUUAGGUUGAUGUUCAAAUGAUGUUGACUUACUGAUAACUCUAGAAAAUGAGAGUUAUUAUAUCCUUUCUAGACUUAAAUCAAUAUCACUUAGAGAUCAAAUAAGGUGUUUUUAUUAUAUUUUUGUUAUAUUUUGCAUAAACAUUUAUUUUAGUUGAGUCUUAAUAAUUUUUGCUUAAAUCAAAGUAAUUUGUGCUAAAAACAAGUGCAUAAUUGUAUGUUUUCAGAAAGUCUUGAUUCAUGAGGGGAUGUUGAGACAUUAGAUGAGCAAGAAGAGGAAAGAAGACGACCGCAAAAGAAGUAAAGCACAAUCGGGAAUAGUGUAGUGUGGUUGCGAAAGUUAGAGCAACCAGUGCUGUAGCAAUCUGGGAACAAUGCAGGAGAAAACUUAGGCGCGGGUCAGCCACAAAAUCGCAAUCUGCAUGUUUCCUAAUUUAACGCAUGCACGCCCAUGAACUUUUAUUUUUACCCUAGUUUGCAGUAUAAAAGGGAGGCGUGCACCACAUAGAAAGGCGGCAAGGGAAUUAUCAUUAGAAUAAUUACAACGGAAAGAAAAAGAAGAUCAAAAUUACAGAGUGCUGUUUCGGCAACAUUGAAGAAUCGUGCAAAAUUAUUUGGAUUUGUCUUUCAUCGUGCUCAACUUAUAAUUAUCUUCUUCUUUUAAUUGUUUUGAUGUAUCCCAUGAUCAAUAUAUUUAUGUUUAUUUUUCUCAUUCAGAAUAUGAACUAGACUUGUUUGUAGUUGAGUGACAAGUAAUCCAAUGGGGUCUUGACUGUUCUUAUGUGUUGUUAUGUCAUUGCUGUAGCAUUUUACUCUAUUAGCUUUUAUGAAUAUAACUAUUAUUUCGGUUGACCACCCAUUUGAUAGUUUCAGUUAAGAUAGAGCAGCAAAAGGGUAUGUCUUAGCGGAUAUUAUUAGAGUAUUACUUGAUCUUAAGUUAAGUUUCCUGGAUUAAGUUAUCUUGAAUCCCAUAAGGGCAAUACUUGAAGUUAAGAUUUGUGACACACUAGACAUAGGUGUUCACCUUGCAGGGUGGAGAGAUUAAAGAUCAUAACGCCAUACCAUAAGUAGAUUAGCAACUGGUCCUUGUUAAUAGAUUUAAGGGUAUGAGACUUCCAAUAUGCGAUAGCUGAGGAUGCAGAUAAAUUCUGCCCAGUGCUGCAACACUUGCCGUAACAAUUGGUGCUAACUUGAUGAAAAACAGUCAGCCUAUAAGGAGAGUUUGAUCAUUCAGCUACCAUAAUUUCAAUUGAAUCUUAGACACAUUUUAUCUAAUAUUUUAUUACGGUAUUGUUUUAUUUAAUUCUCUCAUAAUCAUCAAUCAUGAUAAAACUUAAUUUACGAUUGUUAACUUCGGCCUUAAGUUGGUUUGCACUAUUGUGAUUACUAUAGCAUUUCGAGUAGCAUCAAUCCUUGUGGAGACGAUCUUGAAUAUUCAUCACUUUAUUACUUAUUGUGUAUACUUGCACAUUGGCAUUGGUAGCAAUUGCUUAUAAAAUUAACCAACACUUACUAACCUAAAAUUUUAAUUAUUUACCUUUUUUGAAGUAAGAAUGGUCAUUAGAAGGCAAAUUGGUAGUUGGACCGAUGAGAUUGAUGCUUAAAGAGACUGAUUUACAACUAAAUAAUUUGAAAUUUUCAUGCUAAGUGUCGUUAUAAUCAUUUUCCCCAUUGUUAUCAUUCUAGUUUGCUACCCUAUAUAAGUUGUUUCAUUUAUUAUAAUUUUUAUUUUUAUUGUGAAUUAAGAGUUUGAUAUUUUAAACUACAAGAUGAUAGUUCAUCAUGAACUUUGGAACCAAGCAACUAUAAACCAUCUCUAAGAUUCUACUAGAAACUACUGCAGUACACUUGAUAAACCAAUUGACAAAAAAAUUGAAACUCACCAAUAAAAAAUUUAAUAGAAGUAGGAAGUGAUCGGCAUUAAAGGCCUGGAUUAACAAUAAUUGGUUUAGUUACAAAAUACAUGCCCUUUCCCCAAUUUCAAUUUCAUUGGCUUUGUCAAACUUCUCGUGUUCAUAUAAAAUUCUUAGAGAUGUUUGAAAUGUCAAAAGACAACAAAAGCUGUACUUGUCUAUAUGAAACUUGAAAUGUACCUAUAAAGUCUUUUUCCUUUAUGUUAAAAGGAUGCUAAUUUUUUUGAAAUAUUCAAGGGAUCCAUAAAAAUUUUAACCCUUUACUUUUGCAUACAAUUUGGGAGAUUUAUAUAGAUUUUAAAGUUAUGAAAACUUUGGUUUGAAUUUUGAAUGAAUAAUGUUAUUAUAGACAUUAAGCAUGUCGCAGGAUACUGAAAUAUUACUACGCGUUAUUACUAGUCGAUGGGAAAAUGCUAAUGGCUGGUAUGGUGAUUAAUAGAGUUGGUCAAACAUGUCAUCAAUUCAUGUUCGUGUUGUAUUAGCUUUGUGUCGUGUCAAAUUUAGGUCACCCCAAACAUGACCCAUUUAAUAAUCAUGUUAAAAUAUUGAGAUCCUAACCCAACACGAAAAUUAAAUGUGUUACCUAAUAACGCGCUUAAUAUCUAUAUAUUUAACAAAAUGUAAUGUGUGUGUAUAUAUAUAUAUAUAAUUUAUUGAUAUUAUAAAAUAUACAUGUCUAUCAAAAUAUUGCACAUUUACACUAUUGAAGUUUUAGUUAUAUAUAAUAUUAUAUAUCGAUAUUAUAAAAUAUAUAUGACUACUAAUAUUUUAUAUAUUUAUACCAUUGUAGCUCUAAAUCUAAAUAAAAUUUUGUAAAUGAAUGUGCAUAUGUUCAUCCUUACAAAAAAAGAAGAAUGAGAAAAUCAUGUCUAUUAUUGAAGUUUUGAUGACACAAACCUACAAAUUAAUUUGGAAUAAAAAAUAUAGUUGCAUCAUUAAUCAAUAGAUGGGCCAAGGACUUUAACUUUAACUUGACACGAAAAAAGAAUCGUGUCGACCCGGACUUGACUCAUUUAAUAAUCGUGUCAAAUUUAACGAUUUAUACAUAUUUAGUUGUGUCAUGUUCGUGUCGAAUAAUCAAAUCUUUUGAAAAUUUGUCACCUUUAAUGAUUACAACAACCUCUUAAGCUAGGACAAGCAGAGAAUUCAAAAGCAGGACAAAUAAUUCAGUGUUUUCUUAAAUUCAAAUUAUUGUGCAUAUAAUUUCUCAACUUUUCAAUUAUAUAAAAAUAAGUGCAACUUAUUUGGGAAACUUAUUCACUACAAGAAAAACGAGCUUUAGUGAUACUUGUCCUCGGACACUUAGAUAAAAUGUAUUAGCAUAUACAUACAGUUGGGCCAUUGCCUAUGUCUAAUUGACAAAUAUCACAAAUUGCUAAUGCGAUAGUGUCUGUAAAUUAAACAUUAGUGAUCCAUGACAUUAAGGUAUCACUAUUAAAAGAUUAAUAACUUUUGUUCUAUUUUAGUCUGAAUUCUAAUUCAACGCCUUUAUGACUUAACUGCUUAAGUUCAAAAAAAAAGAAACUAUUGAGAUACAAUUUUUAUUUUAAUAAUUAUGAAAAAUAAAAAAAAUCAAAACAAAUGCAUAGCCAAAUCAGCUUUAACCUAAAUUUCUUAAACUUCUAUUUCUAAACUCACCACCAUCCUUUCUUAACUCUCUAAAAGUUAAGAUUAAUACAAAACCUAGCUGCGUAAAUCUUGUAGGAUAAAAAUCAUAGUUGAACUCUCUGACUCAAUUUUCUAUAGCCACCAACUGAUUAAAUUUUAGGAGGCCACAUAAUCUUUGUGAAAGUUGUUGCAGACUAGCCAGCUAUUGAACCAGCUAUGAAGCUAUCAGAGUUGCCACAAGUUGCCACUAAAAUAUGAGCAGGCUAUUAACCUCGAUCCACCAUAGUUGUUGUUGUGCAAAUUUUUAGUAUACUCGCAAGUGCACGAAUCUUUAGAAAUAGAAUAGUGGUAAUAAGGUCGAACUCACAAGGAUUGCUAAAAGUUGGAAAGUCUAAUUUAAGUGUAAAAUUAAUGUUAAUCCUAACCUAGUUAAGCAAAUUAAGUUUUAAGAGAAUUUAAACUAAUUAGACUAAGAAAACAUCAAAUCAAAAGAGAUUUCAAUAAGGCAAAGGUUUACCAAGGUUUCAAAAUCCAUCAAUAUUCAAUUAGUAAUUAUUUAAUUAUCAAUUAAUCUCCAAUUUUUGAGUGACAACUCGAAAUCAGUUUAUGUCAUCUCAUAGAUAUAACAAUUAACCUAAAGUAAUUAAAUCUAAUGUAGAUUCUUUUUCACUUCAGGGGAGCAUUUAUAAGCAUUAGAUGUAUCGUAUUGAAAAAUAAAGAAUCAAAGUUUCCUAAACAUUUUACGUAUCCAACUUAUUGAAAAAUAAAUAAUCAAUGAGAUCACAUUAAUCAUUAUUUCAUCAAGUUUAAAUUAGUCAAAUAAUCUCUUAACUAUCUAGAAUAAAUGAUAAGAUGAAAAAGAUAAUUAUUCAAUUAAUCAUGUAAAAGAAGAACCAUAAUCAUCAAACAAGAUAUGUAAAGGAUUGAUUAAAUAAAAAGAUAAAUAUUUAAUUAAAUAGAGUUUCGUCAUUAACCUCAAUAUAAGAAAAUUAACUAGACGUAUAUUGAGUGCUGGAGAAUGUAUAUUUAUAUAGGGUAAAAUUGUUAUUUUAUUCUCCAAAGUCUCACUAACAUUUUCACUUUUACGUUUUUAAAUCUUUUAAGCUUUUAUUAGGUGUGUUUUAUUAUAAUUUAAGUAUUUUAUGGAUAUUUUGUCCAUUUCACGACUAACAAGAAGUUAGACAGUGAAAUGAAUGGUAUUUUUGAACUUAGGAUGGUCGAAAACCUUAGAAGGAACAUAAAAAAAUAUUGGGUAUUGUUCACAUAUACGAUAUUGUUUAAGUAUACGGCACUGUUCACAUAUAUGGUCCAAUGACGUGGCAUUGAAUGAUGACAUGUCAACAUCUUAUUGGACCAAUGAUGUGGCAUUGACUAAUGAUGUGGCAAGAUACUAUUGAACCAAAAUACUGAUUUGGCGUUGACCGAUGACGUGACAACAUCUUAUUAGACUGAAAUGCUUAUGUGGUGUUGACUCAUGAUGUGUUCCAACCAAUCAAAGCUUGCCACGUGGUACUAUCUUGAGCGUGCGAAUUAUUUUCAUUUAAUGCCCAUGAUUUAUCAAUUGUAUCUAUAAAUAGAGGGCUCUCCCCUAAUUUGACACCCUUGAAUUUCUUUUUGAACUCUAUUUUCUAUAAUUCUCCCUCCAUAUUGUAUUUUCUACGUAUUUUAAUAAAAUUACCAUUUUACCCUUAGUUCAAUUAUGAGUGGCUAAUUUAGUUUCAACCUUAGGUUGAAGGUGAAACCUCAACAUGAUUCAAGGGCUUAAUUAGGUAAGUUUAUUUUAUUUUCUUCUUUGAUUUAUAUGGCUUUUUUGACUCAUUGUCGAUAGACAGUGUAUCAUGUCUAGAUUUUACAUGGUAUACCGGCUCCUUAUUGAAGGAUCGUUACUAUCUGGGACAAUGAAAGCUUAACACCAUAUUAAUUAGAGAGAAAAUUUCCCUCUAGUAUUUUGUAAGUCGUCUUGACUCAGUGUCGACAAGGAGUGUAUCUAAGUAUUUUAGUGGAUGGUCUUCCCACAUUGUCGACAGAAGGAUUGUUAUCGUCUGGCAUAACGUGUUUUUUACACCACAUUUAGUGGAAGAUCAUUACCUCUGGCACACUGAGCGCUUGACCAUUGAGAAAGGUAAAUUCUCAAGUCAGCCAGUGCCCAAUCUUAAAGGAAAACAUAAAGUGAAUACAAGUUUAUCCUAGCAUCAUGAAGAAGUCAAAGUCGUUAUGACCUUGCGAAAAAGGCAAAGAAGUGGACAAAAAACAUACCGGUGACAAAGACAACUCUAGAAUCUGAAGACCUAUCAACAAAAGAGAAAGAAGAUAACAGCCCACGAGAAUAUAUUAUUGAGUGUUAGAAAAUGUAUAUUUAUAAAGGAGAAAAUCGUCAUUUUACACUUCAAGUUUUACUAACACCCUUACUUUUAUGUAUUUAAGCUUCUUGUCAUUUAAUUAUAUGUGUUGUAUUAUAAUUAAGUAUUUUAUGUAUUUUAGGGGCAUCAUAGUCAUUUCACAAUGAACGAGAGAUUAGACGGCAAAACAGACAUCACUUUUGAACUCAGGACGGUCGAAAACCUUAGGAGGAGCAGAAAAGGAAAAAUGGCAUUGUUCACAUGUACGGUACUAUUCACAUGUACGGUACUGUCUACGUUACUGUUCACGACACUGUUCACAUAGACGGAUUGAUGAUGUGGCAUUGACCGAUGAUGUGGCAUUGACUGAUGAGGUGUCACGAUCCUGUUGGACUAAAAUUCUUAUACACUGUUGAUUGAUGACGUGGCAGCAUAUCAGUGGACCAAAAAUCUCGCGUACGGUACAUGCAUUACACAUGAUUAUUUUCAACCAAACCGCGUCACUGUUCAAGCCGGGUCAAACCGUGUUACUGUUCAAACCGCGUGGUCAAGCCGUGUACAGUUGACUGAUGACGUGGCACAAUCUUGAGCGUCCAAACUGUUUUUAAUUCGAUGGCCACGAUUUACUCAAUGUAUCUAUAAAAAUGAGGCCUCCCCCCCUAAUUGGAUAGCUCUGAAUCCAUUUUUGGACUCCAUUUUCUGUAAUUCCCUCUCCAUCUUAUAUUUUCUAUGUAUUUUAAUAAAUUUUCAUUUUGCCCCUAGUUCAAUUAUGAGUAGCUAAUUUUCUUUCAAGCUUGGGUUGAAGGUAAAGUCUCAACAUGUGUCAUGGACUUUAUUUGGUAAAUUUAUUUUCUUUUCCCCUAUAAUUUUUGUGGAUGUUUUGACUUCUCGUCGAUAAAUAAUAAUAAUCUUGUCUAGAUACCACAUUGGUUUCACCGGCUCUCUAGUACAAGGUUAUUAUUAUUUGUCACGAUAAACCAUUAGCACCAUAUUGAUUAGAGUGUGGUUCAUGAGGUGUGGAUUCCCCCUUCUUGAUUUAAUUGGCAUUAAUAAUAAAUAUUUAGCCCAUGGUGCAUGUUGAUACGGAUCCAGAUACCCAAGUACGUCAUUUCAAUAGAUUUCACUUCAAUUUAUUCUCGCAUUUUCAAUUCCAAUUUUAAAAUAAUCUAAGUUACAUUCACCACAAAUCCAACCACCCUCAUACAAAAUUAAUUCUACAUAUAAUUAAAAUCCACCUCCUCGUGGGAUCGACACUCGUCACCAUUAAUCUAUUCUACAAUAGAUUCGUGUAUUUGCGAGUUCAAUAAAACUUGCACAAUAAGUUUUUGGCGCCGUUGCCGGGGAGGUAAGUUAUUUUAAUUCGUAAAAUUAAUUUUUGUGAAUAAUUUUUUUAUUUGUUUUCUUGUAUUUUUUUAUUAUUAAAAAAAAGAAAAAAAAGUGAAUCUGCAUUUAGAGGUAAUAAUUUCUUUCUUUCUCUAUUCUUUACAAUUCUGUAAUUUAAUUUUUAAGUUAUUUUUCUUUGUAAUUUUUGUUUAUCUUAUUAAUUUAAUUUUUAGUCAAUUUAUUGCAUGAAUUUUUUAUUGUGUUUUUAUAGAAAGGUUUUAACAGUGUAAUAAGGUUAGUACCGUAAUUUCUCAUUCUUCUUUAUUUUUAUUUGUUUUGUUCCCAUUUAUCUUUUGUUCUUUGCAUGCAUGGUCGUAGGUCAUUAUUACCUAAUCUUGAACCUAUAGACCUUGAACUUGAGAAAACACUUCGCACACACAAACAAGUUAAAAAUAAAAUGGAUUUGCAACCACAAGAGAGGCCAUUUAAGGACUACUUUAGUCCUUUAGCUAAUUUGAGCACAUCAUGCAUAAGAUACCCAAAUGUAAAAGUUUUGAAUAAAUAUUUCCCAGUGCAUAAAACUAAUGCUAUUCAUAGGGAAAUUUCAGAGUUUACCUAGAGAGAAGACGAGCAGUUUUUCAAAACAUGGGAGCGAUUCAAUGGGCUACUCUUGAAGUGUCCACAUUAUGGGUACGAGAAAUGGCACCAAUGCCAAUAAUUUUUGGAGGGAUUAUUGCCGAAUGUGCAAGAAUGGCUAAUGGCAACAAGUGGAGAAGAGCUAAUGUCAAAAAGUGCAUUAGAGAUUUAGGAAUUUUUCCAGCGACAAGCAGAUAAUUUCCAACAACGGAGUCGGUCGCUCAGGAAUACUAAAAGAAUUAAAGGAGUGAAUGAGGUUCACAUUGGCGAGUCAACGUUGAGAAUCAAAGAAGUUAAGGAGAUGGUUAAAGGUCUCGCUUGACAAAUAGCAUCGUUAUCAACUGCUAAAUCAACAGAGCCACAUGACCAUGACUCAUACUCAAAUCAAGCCAAUGCCAUAGGUGUAAUGAGAAAACUAUCAAAUUACAACCCAUACUCCAACACAUAUAACCUUGGAUGGAGAGACCACCGCAAUUUUUCAUGGUCUCAAGAAUUCCAACAGAAUGGACCAGUAGCUCUAGCUCCACCAAUGCAACCAAUUCCUCAAGCCUCUCAGCCCCCAUUUAGACCAUUCAAUUAGAACCAGAACUACUCUCAACCCAGACCAUGGGAGGAUGCAUUCUAGAAUUUCAAGAAUGUUACUCACUCUGCGAUUGAGUAACAGAACCGCACCAUUGAUGGACUACGAAAUGAGUUGAGAGCCGGCUUCAACUCACAGGCCUAAUCAGUUUCAAGCCUCGAAAAGAUGGCGGGACAACUUGCUUCUUUAGUUCAGACCUUGGCAAUGACUGUUGAGAAAGGUAAGUUUCCAAGUCAACCAGUGCCUAAUCCUAAGGGAGUGCAUGAAGCAAGUACCAGUUCACCACAGCAGCAUGGAGAGGUCAAAGCAGUCAUGACCUUGCGAAAAGGAAAAGAAGUCGAUAAUAAAAUGGAGAUACCGGUGACAAAAGAAAAUCAAAUUGUACCUGUGAAUGUUGAGGACUCACCAUCGGAGGAGAAAGAAGAAACUAACCCACGAGAAUACGUUCCCAAAGCUCCAUUUCCUCAGAGGUUAGCUAAAGGAAAGAAGGAAAAAUCCACAGGUGAGAUUCUUGAAAUCUUCAAAUAGGUAAGUGUUAACAUUCCUUUGUUUGAUGCUAUUAAAUAAGUUCCAUCUUAUACCAAGUUUUUUAAAGAUCUUUGCACUAAAAAGAGAAACAUUUACGUUCAAAAGAAGGCAUUUUUAACAGAAAAUGUUAGUUCUAUACUCCAACAUAAAAUUCCUCUAAAAUGCAAAGACACAGGCUUCCUCACUAUCUCAUGUAGUAUAGGGAACUACACAAUUGAGAAUGUUUUGUUGGAUUUAGGAGCUAUUAUAAAUCUGUUGCCUUACUCAGUAUUUUUGAAACUUGGUCUUAGAGAAUUACACCCAACUCUAGUAGUGUUACAGCUUACAGAUUGGUCCACGAAAAUACCUCGUAGUAUUGUGGAGGAUGUGCUUAUCCAGGUAGACAAGUUUUAUUUUCCUGUUGAUUUCAUUGUAAUUGACAUUCAACCAAUACAGGAUUCAAGGAAGCACAUCCCCAUUAUUUUAGGCCGACCUUUCUUGGCAACUGCGAAUGCUCACAUUCAAUGCAGGACUGGAAAUAUGUAGUUGUCCUUCGGCAACAUGACUAUGGAGCUGAACAUCUUCAACAUUACCAAACAACCUCCCAAAAAGUCAGGAGUCACAGUAGUUACCAAUGCUAAUAAUGAAUUUAUACCCACUAGAGUAACUACAUGAUGACGUGUAUGCAUUGAUUAUAGAAAGUUAAAUUCUGUCACAUGUAAAGACCAUUUUCCUUUACCAUUUAUUGAUCAAAUGCUUGAUAGAUUAGCAAGCCAUGAAUUUUAUUGCUUUUUAAAUGGUUACUCAGGAUAUAAUCAGAUUCUCAUAGCACCAAAAGAUCAAGAGAAAACCACUUUCACUUGCCAUGAAAGUAAAAUUCAGAAUAUCCUUUCAUUCUGCCAUGAACAAGCUUGUGGAGGCUAUUUCAGUGCUAAGAAAACAGCUACUAAGGUUUUACAAUGUGGUUUCUAUUGGCCAACUAUAUUUCGAGACGCUUACACUUUCUGUUCUUCAUGUGAUAGGUGUUAACGAAUGGGGAGCAUUACACGAAGGAACAUGAUGCCACUAAAUCCAAUUUCAGUGGUUGAGAUUUUUUACGUAUGGGUUAUCGACUUCAUGGGACCCUUUCCCCCUUCUUUUGGCCAUCAAUACAUAUUGGUUGCUAUUGAUUAUGUAUCGAAAUGGGUAGAAGCAAUUCCAUGUAGAACCAAUGAUCACAAGGUGGUGAUAGGAUUUUUGAAAAGCAACAUUGUUUCACGCUUUAGAUUUCCUCGAGCGAUAAUCAGUAAUGGUGGUGCCCACUUUUGUAACAAAGCAUUCAAAGCUCUUUUGACAAAGUAUUCAACCACUCACAAAGUGGCGACCCUUUAUCAUUCGCAAACCAGUGGCCAAGUUGAGAUCUCCAAUCAAGAAAUAAAGCACAUAUUAGAAAAAACAUUAAGGCCAGACAAAAAAGAUUGGUCAUUAAGACUUGAUGAUGCAUUAUGGGCAGAUAGAACGGCUUUCAAGACCUCGAUUGGGAUGUCGACCUACAGGCUAGUGUAUGGAAAAGCUUGCCACCUACCUGUGGAACUCGAGCAUCGUGCAUACUAGGCCAUCAAGAAAUUCAACUUUGACAUGCAGUAAGCUAGCUCAGAAAGAAGAUUACAACUGGCAGAACUUGAAGAAAUUCGCAAUGAUGCAUAUGAAAAUGCCAAGAUUUACAAGCAGCGAAUGAAAGUCUUUCAUGACAAGCAAAUUAUGAGAAAAUCUUUUACUCCAGGUCAGAAUAUGCUUUUAUUCAAUUCUCGCUUGCACCUAUUCCCAGGUAAGUUACGCUCUCGAUGGUCUGGUCACUUUAUUGUUCACACUGUUUUUCCACAUGGGGCAGUUGAAAUUAAGGACCCAAAGAACGGUGUCACGUUUAAACUUAAUGGUCAAAGAUUAAAGCCAUAUCUAGAGUACCAACCACAUGGAGAGGACACCGAAAUAAAUUUGAGUGACCCACCAGAUUUAAAUUGAGUUUUUUUUUCUUUCUUUUCGGUGAUUUGAUUUGAUUUUUUUUCUUUCUUUUUAUUAUUCUUUUGCUAAUUGAAAUUAUUUUUGCAUAAGUGUGUUUGUUUAACCAUUAAGUUUUCUCUUAUCAUUGUUAAUCAUGAGUACCAUAGUUAAACAGUUCCUCCUGAACAUUCUUCAACCACUUCAACGUGCAAAAUCUCAUCUCAUCAGACAGAUUCGAUUUUGUAAAACACAUCGUAUUUGGGCUUUGCAACCACCAGAGUUAGUAUCCUAUGUUGAGGAUUUAAAAAGCCAACUUAGAGACAUUGAGAGAAGUGUCUAUAACAUCCAGUUGGAGCUUGAGGUAAAUUCAAUAAGAGGACGAUUUUAAUUUUCUUUGUGUGUUUUAAUUUGUUUUUCUGUUUGUGUGCUUUAGUUUGUUACCCCGGUGAAGUGGCGGAUAACGGUACUCCGUGACAAUCAAGUCGGUUACUUCAGUUUCCCAUAAUAAACUGAUAUUCUGAGGCGAAAGUAUGGACAAAAAUGAGAUUCUAGCGAAGCUUCGCAAGCGAUUCCCUUCACUUCCUCAGAAUGCCCUCCUUACGAUCUAUAAAGCCCGAUCUGAACGCAUGCGAUUGCUCAUGAGGAAUAACAUACCUGCAGACAUCCGUUGGUUAAUCGAGGCUAAAGUACGAUCGGCAGGUGAGUUACCUCCAAAAUUUAUUGCAUACAUGCCUGGUUGUGGUAAAGGAAAUUAAGCAAGAAAACGACGAGCUCGAAGAAUUUCUGUUGCUUGUCACAAGUGUGCCAGAAUGAGUUGCGAUAGAAACCCAUGUUCUUUAGGAAUGGUGUCUGAUAACAGAGAAGAUAAGAUUCAAUUCAUUAGGGAUGGCUUGAAUAAGGAGUCAUUGGAUGAUAUCAUUUUGUCUCUUGAAACGCAUCCCAGUGGAUAUAUGCAAGGAGCGAUUCUCCAGUUAUGGCCAUUAUUCCAAAAAGAGCAUGCACGAUAUAGUCUCGGGAAUCUGACUAUAAACCUGCUGUACCGUACAUCCGCCUUGGCCGUACAGCAGAAUUCAAGCCGUUUCUGGACGUAAAACCAGAGGAAGAUGUGAGCCACAGUCGCAACUACCUGUAAAUAUCCUUUUACUUCACUAUUAUUUUAUUUCACUGUUGUUUUAUCAUUUGCAUUAUUGUCUUUAAUAAUUUUAUUUUAUCAUUGUUUCUUUUUCUUUUUACUGUUUCCUUUUUGACUCGCGAGCUAUGUGCUUUACGCGUUAUUUGACACUGACAUGCACUAUGACUUUUUGUCAAGCACUUACAAAUUGUUUUUGAGAAAUAUCUCAAUGGUAGCUACUCCUAAUAGACAAUUCAAGAACAUUUGUGUGCUUUCUGGAUUUAACUAUGGCAAACAUAAAGAGUUCGUUGAGGCAGCCAUAGAUCUUGGUCAAAGCAUAGCAGAGAGAAAACUACACUUGGUGUAUGGAGGAUGUAAUCGAGGGUUAUCAAAAUUGGUCUCAGAAGCUGCUUUUGUCAAAGAAAGCUAAGUGUUAGGCAUCAUCCCAAGAGCCCUAAAACCUUUGGGCAGUUUGUCUGACCCACCAACUGGAGAAGAGUUAGUCGUCUCAGGUAUGUAAGAAAGAAUAACUGAAAUGCUUAAUCAUACUGAUGCUUUUAUUUUCCUUCUAGGAGAUCUUGCAACACUAGAGGCACUUAUCACACUAGCAUCUUGGGCCCAUCUGUACAUUCACCAGAAACUCAUCGGUUUGUUAAAUGUCAAUAACUUUUAUGAUGGUUUUAUCGCAUUUCUUAAUCAUGCAAUAAAAAACUAUUUCAUUCCUUCCAAUGUGAAAAAGCUUUUUAUUUGUGCUCACACUGCUAAUGAGUUACUUGAUAUGUUACAAGCUUAUAAACCAGAGCCAGACCCAUGGACCUCUGUGUUGGAGCAUCUAAAUAAUGACGGUAAUAGUAGCCGCAGUAAGAAGUACAAAUUAAAUUUAACUCUCCGCCUAUAAAUAUUUUCUUCUGUGUUACACCACCUAGGUGAUGUCUUCUAAACUCUACUUAUUUCCUUUAAAACAUUGAGGACAAUGUUUCGUUCUGGUUGGGAGGAGGGAAUAGUGGACAAUUAUGGAAUCUUGGUUAAGUUUUUACUAAUUUUUUGUUGUAGAAGCUAACUGUUGCUAACUUUUUGUGUUGAAGAUGGUUGAAUAUGGAGUGUAAUUACUCUAGAAACGCAUUUUCUUAGUUAAAAAAAACAAAAAAAAUUCUAGAUAUUUUCUUUUUCUUUAUUAAUUUUUUUACAAUCAUUUUUCUUCUUCUUUAUAAUUUCUCCUUUAUAAAUAUACACUUUCCAAUUUUUUUGAGUCGAAGAUAGCUGAAUAUGGAGUGUAGUGCCUCUAGAAACCCAUCUUCUUAGUUAAAAAAAAACAUUUCUUUUUCUAUCAUUUUAAGUGUAACUUUUCUAAUUAGUUUUUCUGCAUCAUUUUCACAUUUCUGCAUGCAUAUUUUCCUUUCAUGUUUAGAAUAGGUUGGGGGGUAGAAUGUUGUUUAAAAAAAAUGUGUGAUUUGUUUUAACAUUGGAUGACAUGAUUAAUUUCAAAUUUUAGUAUUUGUAUGAUCUUUGGUCUUAAGUGAUGAUACUCUAUGUUUGCUACUUCACAUGUUGAUGUCGGAGAUAAAUAUGAGUUGCUUGAAGGAAUGAAUAUGUCAUAAUAAGUACCAAGUGAGUUUUUGAGCCUAUCAUUUUUCUUAGAGAAUAACCCUUUUGUCCAUUCUUUAUAUAGCUUAGCAGUUUAUUAUUUUAUACAUGAUCUCUAGAUUUCUUUUGAGUUAGCACUUAAAAGAAAAGUUAUUGUAAAAUUAAAAAAAAAAGAAAAAAAUGUGUGUUGCUACAUCUAGAGACCCAUUUAACUAGUAGAUAUGGAAGAUUCUUUAGAGUUCUAAAAAAUGAUGGAAAGGUCAUCUUUGAUUCGUUUGAGCCUUUCUAGCCAUCCCUUUUGUGAAAUAUCCAUAGUUAACCCUUUUGAGCCUUAAAACAAAAAAAAACAUUUUUUUUGUCAACUUAUCAUCUUGACCCACUCCGAUUUGGAGUAUUACCCAAUGUCUUAUAAGUUUCAUCACCUAUUUAUGUUUAAGAAAAAUGUAAAUAAUUAUUUUGUUCAGUGACGUUGUGCCAAACAAAAGCAAAAAAAAAAUUGUUGUUUUAAAAAAAGAAAAAAAAGAAAAAAAAUAACAAUAAUAGGUGAAAUUCACCCUGCAACUUCCAACAAAAUACAAAACAAAAUUAAAAUCUCUGCAUUUUUCUCAAACAUACACUUUAUUUUCCUUAUUUCCCCUCCUUUGUUAGCCAUGUCCCUAGCCUACGUUACGUCCUAAUAAAAGUCCUUCUUGAUUUUAGGGAACGAUAGUCUGAAGUAGAAGCUAGUUAUAUGGACUAAAAAGAUGUAGUGGUGCAUAAACAAAAAAAAUAAAAAUAAAUAAAUUGGGUUGACUAGCAUUUUUAUUUGACUUGAGAUCGUAUUAUUUCUAAGCUGAGGCAUAUUUUUUUCAGCUUGGUGAGAGCAUGUGAUAUCACGUCUUUAUUAUUUUCUCUCAAUUACCAUUCAUUGGAAUGACUAUUUUUAUUGGGUUUAGUUUCUUUGUGAGAGUGUCACUACUUCCAGUGAGAUUUUGGGGUUUGACAUGUCAUUCUUGAAAGUAGCCAUGCCAAAGUCUACUGGGCUGAUUCAUAUGGAUGGUUGAUGUGGGUGUGAUGUUUCUUUAGACUGGAGAUAAUCCUUAUACUUUUAUUUGAUUACUAUCAUUAGUCUAAUUGAAUAAACAUUAUUGUUAAAAAAAAAUUAUUUUGGAUUUGAAUUUUAUUUUUGCUUUAUUUGCUAGGGACUAGCAAUAAGCUGGUUGGGGGGUGUGUUGAGUGUUAGAAAAUGUAUAUUUAUAAAGGAGAAAAUCGUCAUUUUACACUUCAAAUUUUACUAACACCCUUACUUUUAUGUAUUUAAGCUUCUUGUCAUUUAAUUAUGUGUGUUAUAUUAUAAUUAAGUAUUUUAUGUAUUUUAGGGGCAUCAUAGUCAUUUCACAAUGAACGAGAGAUUAGACGGCAAAACGGACAUCACUUUUGAACUCAGGACGGUCGAAAACCUUAGGAGGAGCAAGAAAGGAAAAAUGGCACUGUUCACAUGUACGGUACUGUUCACAUAUACGGUACUAUCUACGUUACUGUUUACGACACUGUUCACAUAGAUGGAUCGAUGGCGUGGCAUUGACCGAUGAUGUGGCAUUGACUGAUGAGGUGUCACGAUCCUGUUGGACUAAAAUUCUUAUGCACGGUUGAUCGAUGAUGUGGCAGCAUAGCAAUGGACCAAAAAUCUCGCGUACGGUACAUGCAUUACACAUGAUUAUUUUCACUGCUGUACCUUACACAUGAUUAUUUUCAACCAAACCGCGUCACUAUUCAAGCCGGGUCAAACCGUGUUACUGUUCAAACUGCGUGGUCAAACCGCGUACUGUUGACUGAUGACGUGGCACAAUCCUGAGCGUCCAAACUGUUUUUAAUUCGAUGGCCACGAUUUACUCAAUGUAUCUAUAAAAAGGGGGUCUACCCCCCCUAAUUAGAUAGCUCUGAAUCCAUUUUUGGACUCCAUUUUCUGUAAUUCCCUCUCUAUCUUAUAUUUUCUACGUAUUUUAAUAAAUUUCUAUUUUGUCCCUAGUUCAAUUAUAAGUAGCUAAUUUUCUUUCAAGCUUGGGUUAAAGGUGAAGUCUCAACAUGUGUCAUGGGCUUUAUUUGGUAAAUUUAUUUUCUUUUCCCCUCUAAUUUUUGUGGAUGUUUUGACUUCUCGUCGACAAAUAAUAAAAAUCUUCUCUAGAUACCGCCUUGAUUUCACCGGUUCUCUAGUACAAGGUUAUUAUUAUUUGGCACGAUAAGCCCUUAGCACCAUAUUGAUUAGAGUGUGGUUCAUGAGGUGUGGAUUUCCCCCUCAUGAUUUAAUUGGUAUUAAUAAGGAAUAUUUAGCCCAUGGUGCAUGUUGAUACGGAUCCCAUGAUGCAUAUUGAUACGGAUCUAGAUACUCAAGUACGUCAUUUCAAUAUAUUUCACUUCAAUUUAUUCUCACCAUUUCAAUUCCAAUUUCAGAAUAAUCUAAUGCUGCGUUUACUUUUUGGAUUGGAGUGGGAAUCCUUGGAUUAGAAGUGUGGAGUGGGAGUGGAAGUAGGGUGUUUACUUAGACUAAAUGAAAGUAUAGAUUGUCAAUCAGAAUCCUAAUUAUUUGUUUACUUUGUCUUGGAUUGGGAGUAAAUUGUUUUAAAUUAUAAUUUAAUCCUUAUGUACAGAAUUAUAAUUUGUAAUUAAAAAAUUAAUAAAAAAUAUAUUUGGAAAAUAAAAUAAAUAUUUUAUUAUAUUUAUAAAUUAAUUCCCACUCUCACUUCUCCCUUUUUUAAGGUAAGUAAACACUAGAGUGGAAGGAAUCCACACUCCACACUCCACACUCUCACUUCAGAAAGUAAACAUGACACAACUUAAAAGUAAAUUUUAACUCCCAAGUAUAAGAGUGUCUUGUUGUAUUAUAACUCGGUGAGUCCGAGGUCGAUCCACAGAGAAAAGAUUUAAUUAGUUUAUUUUAUUUUAUCUAAAAAUUGAAAUUAAAACUUGAAUAUAAACAACUUAAUUUAAAUGAAACUAUGGAAUUGAACUAGUUAGGGUUAUGGAUCCACUCUUAGAAAUAAAUAAAACUUAAUAAAUUCUUUUUGCCAAUUUGUUUUAGAUUUAUUACUCAAAAGAUUAAUUAUACAAAUUAUUAUUAUUUUCCCUUUAAUUUUAUGAUGGAUUAAGUAUUUAUUGUGCCAAAAUUUAAUUUGUCUACAAUAAGUCAAAAUACCAUUUCACCAUGCCUUAUAUUAAGAUCUUAAGAAUUUAUUGUGCCAAAUUCAUUUAUUUGUCUACAAUAAAUCAAAUUUUCAAAAUAUAAAACAUGUAUAAAAUUAAAUAGAAAAUAAUUUAAUUUAUAAAAUUAAAAAUAGAAUUUGAUUAAAUCAUAUUUAUUUCCUAAGAGUUUCACCUUGCCCUAACUAAUAUUAUUUAGUUAAGCAUAAUUAAAAUAAAAAGUAGUAUAAUUGAAUUACUUAUAAUUAAAAGAAAUAAAAACAACUAAAAUUGGAAAUAAAACUAAUUUUAUUAGUGAAAAUAAUUAUACAAAAUAUUAAAAACACACCUGGAAAUCAAGAUUACAGGGAGAUGGAGAGAAUUUGAGAAGAAGAGAGUUGUAGAGAGAUCCUUAAAACAUAAAAAUGAGGCCCCUAUUUAUAGAAAAAUAAAUUCAUAAUCCAGUGCUUUGCGGUCCAUCAUAGGCUUCAUGCAUGUGCUCCUCACAACCCUUAGAUCAAGAUCCAAUGGCUGGUCAAACUUCAAAAGUCAACAUCACACAUGGCAUCAUUUGACUCGUCCGAUUUACCCAAAGAACGGUUGAGAUUUGGCGGGUUAAUGGGUGGAUCGGGUCGACCCGAAUACAAAGAUUCGGAUCCUCCAACUUGCUUCACCAACCAUUGCCACGUGGCACAAUCAUGGCCAUUGAAUCAUGAACGGUUGAGAUUUAGUCAAGAUUGCCAGUUAUCCCAUGCACUCAUAUCUAUUGUAAGCUCAUUUCAUCAUCCAAUCAGUGCUCGGUCAACAGGAAAAGUCAACUUUUUUUACACAAGCCCAAUUUUAAGCCGAUCUUGACUGAUCUUAAGGUUUUCGGACCUCCGGAAUCCAAAUUUGACCUCCGUUUAUCUGUUUGGAGCCUCGAAGUACGUGAAAUUAAUAAUUUUCCUAAUAAACACAUAAAAAUACACAAAAUUAAAUAUAUUUAAAACAUAAUUCAUAAUUCAUAAUAUAUUACAUAAACACAAAUAUAAAUUAUAACAUAAGCAUAAAAUAACAUAUUAUCGCUUGAUAAUUAAACAAUUUUUAAUACUAA